This 237-nucleotide long non-coding RNA is filed under the name Lathyrus oleraceus (garden pea). RNAcentral describes it as "Pisum sativum (pea) long non-coding RNA (PSAT_LNC005425)". Lineage: Eukaryota; Viridiplantae; Streptophyta; Magnoliopsida; Fabales; Fabaceae. The record is from RNAcentral.
AUAGGAUGAGAGAAUUUAUUCAAACUUCUGAUUUGAUAUUGCAUAUUGUGAUUUGAGAGUGAUAACACUUUAACCCAGAGAGACUUGGUGAGAGUGUGAUAUAAGUUGACAGGUAAAGUCAUAUCAAUGAGGGAAAGAGUUUCUAGCUCGUUGGCCAUGUGGAAGAAUCAGAAAACCUGAAAAACAUCAAGAGGUCCAGUGCGAAAGAUUUCAGCAGUAUUGUGGUCAGAACUGUUU